Manis javanica (Malayan pangolin) is the source of this 6533-nucleotide long non-coding RNA. RefSeq lists it as uncharacterized. NCBI's taxonomy places the organism in Eukaryota, Metazoa, Chordata, Mammalia, Pholidota, Manidae. The record is from RefSeq and is a predicted model, not a curated record.
UGAUGAUUCACAGCAUUGAAAAUGUACUAAAUGCCAGGGAUUGUUCACUUAAAAAUGGUUAAUUCCACUGCACAGCUGGCCCUGACCCCACUUCUGCACACCCCCGAGAACAACUUCAGCCCCAGGUGCGCUGGCACCUUCCCACCCGCCUGGUGCCAUGCAAGGCUGGCAGACAUUAUCUUGCUUACUUCCACCCUUGCUUCCCAGAGGCGGUCAGGGUCACACGUGCAGCCCCCGCCCCUCAGCACCCCUACCAGUGCAGGGCUCUCUGCAGGCUGGGCACCUAACUCUGCAAAGGACAACCCCUUAGAGACACCAUCGUGGUGCCCACUGAUGCCCAGCACCAGGGACUGAAAUAUGGGCUCUCAGGUACCCCAGUCCGGGGACCGCGGGGCCCCGUGGGCGUGAAUCCUGCGGAGGCUCUGGGGAAUGACUGCAGUCCUGGGGCUGCCCACUGUCUAACGGUGUCCCUGCCUGGGUCCAAGCCUCCCUCGGUGUCCACCACAGCCCAGCCUGGCCUGCAAGUGGCAGAUGUCUCUUUCUGCCUUCCUCCCCACUAAGGCAAGGUGGGAAGGCCCAGCUGGUCCUGGCUGGAAGGCAGCCGGUUCUAAUGUGGGGAGGUGAGUCGGGGUGCAGUGUUCGGGGUGCGUGCAUGGGCUGGGGUCUUGCAGGCUUGCUGCACGCCCUCAAAUGCGAGAUGGCCCGUGUGCGGUGUCUCUGGGAGGGUAUAGCCGAGGAGGGUGCUGGAAUGAUCUGUGCCUGGGCCCAGCAGCGGCUCUAGGACACGCUGAGAGUCCCAGCAGAUUCCAAAAGGAAUUCCUGGUCGAAUUUAAAACAAACAAACAAACAAUGUGGGAAGGAGAGAAAGAAUGUCAGGAAUGUGGGCGGUCGGCCUCCCCAGGCCCCCAGGCCCCGCGAAGGCGUGGGAGGCCACCCCAGGGCCCACCCCAGGCUUCCUCCCGCCUUUCUGAGCUUGCCUGGGGAGGGAACAAAGAACAUUAUUAACAAGGUGUGCUUGGAAAAGCAAUCGAAACCACCCCAAACCCUGCCUCCUAAAGAAAUGUCAAAGACGGUGCACGGGGACCCAACAGAAUUUUCUUUUCUCAAUUAGGGUCAAGAUCUCAGCUUCCUUGACAGGGGAAUUUGGGGGUCUAGGGGGGAGUCCCUCACUAUUUGAAUUCUUCAAGGUGUAAAUGACCUCCGUGGAAGGUUCCAGAGACAAAAUUUUCCCAGGGAGAAAUAACUGACUUUUGCAGGCCGUUGAAGGGACACGGGGGGUUUCAAACUGGUUUCUAAAGCUCCGGCCAGCUCUGUGGCGCAGUCUGCGGCGGACUGCCCGGAACCCCGUACAAUAUCUGGAAGUGACACAAGAACAUUCCGGAGCCCAGAGGUCCCACUUUGGAGAUAAAUACAAGCCGUCUUGGUACGUUUGUUUUUAUCAUUGGGACCUAUUUUAUCUUCCGCAAAAAGGAAGUCACCAAGAAAACAAGAGGCGAUACAGGCCAGUAGGGCCAGGGCCUGCCCACCUGAUUCUAGAAUUUUCCACCAGGAGAACGGCUGGGAAUUUAAACUCUGUUAGCUGGACAGAGAAGCUCAGGGCAAGGGAAGACAAAAAUGUGGGUUUCUUUAAAGGACAAGCAUGUUGGAUUUUAGGGAAAGAAAGAACCCCUCAUUCUGCUGUGUCUCUCUGCUGGUCCGCCAGGCUCGGCUGCUCUGACAGGAAGGCCCCUGGGCAUCCGGCGGGUCUGAGGGAGGGUCUGAGGGGCCUGAGGGCCCGGCUGCGGAGGCCCCCUAUGCGCCCGGACUGUGGGGUUGCUCCCUGAGCGCGGACCGCAUGUGAGCUUUCCCAGAGCCUGGGUUUGGGGCGACCACUGCAGGUCCUGAGCAGCUUUGAGGAGGCCAGUCGGGCCGAGUGGAAGGGGCCCAGGGCAGGGUGCCGGCGGGGCCAGGGGCUGGCACGUGUGGAGACGACCUCCUGGGGACAUUCUGGAGAUGAUGGUGGAGAUGCAUACACUUUGGGAAUGUGCUUUAUGCUGCAGGGCUGUGAGCUAGGAAAUGGUUAAAAGGGUAGAUUUUGUUAUGUAUACUUUUACUGCAAUUUGAAAAAAUGUUUUGGAAGAAAUCUGAAUACCCUCUGGAAAAGUUCAGGGGGUAAAACGAGGGAAAGAACAGAGAACCUUCUCCACGGGAACGUGGGUAUCGCUUUGGUGACCAGCAUUCAGUUACAAAGUUUAUAUUUGAAAACCCUGUUUGGUGUAGCCACUCCCAAAACGACCAGUCAUUCCCUCUUGGGUGCCUUGGAAGAAUUGUUUCCUCCUCUGCUGCCAACUCUAUUUUUAAAUGUUUUCUACAAAGCCUGGGAGACCCUGAGCUGGUUUUUUAAAUGCAUCCAGGAAAAGGGAGAUGAAGGCUGGAAGACCAUUUAAAACCAAAGAAUGCAGGAUGUGUAAGCGAGGUGGGAGGGUGACGUCACCUUAUAAGGAGCAGAAAGGGCUGGACCGUCCCCAUAGACUGGGGCUGCACGUAGGCCGCAGACAAACUCUCGGAAAUAGCAGGGAUCUGGGGGGAUCGACAGGAUCGGAGAGACUAGCAGGAUCUGGGGGAAUCAGCAGGAACGGAGCUCUGCACAUUUACUUGGGAAGAGCUGGCCCCACAGGGACUCUAUUUUCACUCUUUGGAGGAAUGGCCACUGUUUUCCGUGGCGACUGGAUCACCUUCCUUACCACCAGCUGUGGGCGGGGUCCCACUGUCUCCACGUCCUCACCCGCACUGGGGAUAGUGUGGGAACCUGGCUCCUCCUGGUGUGCGGUGGUGUCUUGCUGUGGGUCUGAUGAGCAUUUCCCGUCUGGCUUGUGGUGCUGAGUGUCUUUUCAUGCACAGGUGGGUCAUCUGUCCGUCUACAGAAAUAUCUUACCUGUUCAGAACUGCAAAGGCACUUGGAGCCAGCAGCCUCAGCCUCUCUCUUCCCUCCCACUCUCCUGGUCCCCCAGCAGCCAUGAGCAGAAGCCCCCAGCCGUGCAGGGCCAGCCUCUGGCCAAACCCACCUUGGAUGAGAGGCCCCCAUCCUGGGCCCAUCAAAACGAGAGGGAAGUGGUGAUGGGGGCUCCACUGCAGGAAGGGAAAGCCGCAGUGCCAGCCACCUGCUGGCCUGUUCACCCCUAGGUGGGCUGUCUGGAGCCUCGUGCAGGCGGGCGGCCUGGAGGCCACCCGAGCCGGCCGCCCGCACCCUGAAAUUCAGGCUCGAUUUCCCGCUAUAAAGUAUUGAUGUGGGUGAUGUCACCACUGUGAGCUUCUGUCUUGGGUUUCCUGUGUUACCUGUUACGAACCCCGAGGGCUGCUCUGCUCUCUGUCCUGGAGCCAAGGGGUCUGCCAGGGGGGCACAUUCCCACCUUGGCACCCGGAUCCUUCCAGAAUCAGCCUCUUACCAGGAUCCCACGUCCCCCUGGAGUGGAGGCCCAAUGUUCCUGGGCACAUAUGCAGUGGACCCUGGGGGCUUUGAGCUUAACUCGGCUGACAUUUGGGUGGGUCGUUCUCAGGAAGGGGGUGUCCCGGGCACUGCAGGGGGUGGGCAGCCUCCCUGGGCCCCACCCACUGGAUGCUAGGGGCUCCCCCAGCCACAGAUGUCCCCCAGAUGCUACCCGGAGUUCUGUGCAGGGGGGGCAGGAAGAAUUGCCCCAGUUGAGAAUGGCUGCCUUGCUGUGGUGAGCGCUGGGCUUCGAUUCAGUUCAACCUUUUUAGAGAAAUCCUUACUUACUCCUGGGAAUAAGAAAGACAAAACCAAGGUCUGCGGGCUGCAGGGCAGCGGUGGAGCAGGCUGGGCCCGGGGUCUCCCCACCUCGGUGAGCGUGGUGCUGGGUCUGCGGCACCCUCUGUGCCCCAGCGUGGCCAGGACCCUCUGGGCGGUCUGGGGUCCCUUGCAGCCCCGUGACCCCGUGGACAGGCGGACAGCCGGCGGGCAGAUGGCUGCGGGUCACUUACAGCCCGGCUCACAUUCCCUUUCCAUACUGAGGCAGCUUUCUUUUCAUAAAUUUUGCAAGGCCGUGGAAACAAGCCUUCUCACCCCACCACCGCAAUCCACUGGGCGGUCAACGCCGGGGCUCCGGCUCCAUCCGCCAGGCCCUCCUGGGUCCUUGAAGGCAGAAUGCAUUUCCCGUGGCGGCCUUCACCAAGAAUCACGCACAGGGUGGCUGAGAGCAGAGCAUAUUCAUUCCCUCACCACUUGGGAGACCAGGCCCGGACGGGACACGGGCAGGCUGGUCCCGUCUCAGGGGAAGGGUCUCUCUGGUGCUGCCAGGCCUGUGGCCGCCUCUGUCCAGUCUCUGCCCCGUCCUCAUCAUGUGGCCUAUCCCCGCGUCUGUGUCCACAUUUCCCUCUUCUCAGAAGGACACAUUGUGUUAGGGCCACCUGAUCUGGUGUGACCCUGUCCUCAUCACAUCCACAAAGACCCCGUUCCCAGGUGAGUCCGCUCAUGGGUGUGGGGCUCAGGAUGUGGACACACUUUUUGGGGACUGAGUUCAGCCCGCAGCAGGGCGUUUGUGGUUUUCCCCGCAACGUUGUGGCCGCCUCCCCAGUGCACCCUCCAUGGUGGCCUCCCCCACAUCCAGCCCCUUCCUGCCUUUCUCUGCCUUUGGCCGUUUCCCGCAGGCCGACCAGUGGCUCCUCUCCUCAGCCACAUGCUUAUCAGCCGCCUUCUCUGUGGCCCAGCCUCCUGCUCAGCCCAGCGCCUGGCAGGAGCCCCCAGAGUGACCUCGGACAGUGUAGGCCCACGGCCUGCAUCUCUGUCCCCAGCCUCUUGAUAAGCGCUGUGCAAAACCCAAGGCCCCUGGGUCUCCGAAGGUCAGGCAUGGAGCUACCACGUGACCUAGCACCUCUGCUCCUGGGCAUCUGUGUGGACCGAUCAUGUCACCACCCGGCUCUGAAAUAGUGACCCCAGGAAACUCGGUCUGUUCAAGAGCAACGGAAACACAUGUCCACAGAAACCCCGUGCACGCCUGUCCCCAGCAGCCACAAGGUGGGUGCACGUCAGGUGCCCAUCAACAGGGGUGUGCACACACACGUGUCCAUCCACACACACAUACACGGAGCAUCACGCAGCCAUGAAAAGGAGGCCCUGCUACACACCACAAGUAGACGGGCCCUGAACACGGUGCUCAGACACACAAGGCCACACUGUGUGACCCCAUUCCUGUGACACGUCCACAACAGGUGGAUCCACAAACAGAACAUGGGCUCAUGGUGCUGGGGGAGCUGGGGUGACUGCUAAGGGAGAGGGGCUGCUUUUCGGGGUGAUGGGAUGUCCUCAAAUUGAUUUUGGUGAGAGUUGCACAACUUUUGACUAUAUGAAAAACCAUUGAACUGUCACUACAAGUUGGUGAAUUGCAUGGUAUGUGAAUUACAUCUCACUAAAGCUGUUACCCCAGAGAUUUUCCUUCGGUGGCUGUCUUAAGCAUUUCAGACACUUGCACACACAGAGCUGAGCCCACCACCCAGACAAGAAAUCAAGUAUCAGCAGCCAGGCAUCACCACCCCCCACCCCCCAAGAAGAGUCUCCUUAAGGCAGGAUCUCCAAUCCCUACUUUCCCCACAAGCGCAUCUAUCCAUCUAUUCCCAGCUCUGGUUGCAUUGUCCAGACCCGUCCUGUGUGCGACCUCCUGCUGCUGUGUCCCCUGCCACGCCAGGUGUGGCGGUGUCUCUGUGCACCUGCCCCCAGCCCAGUCCAGAUGCCUGUUACCGUACUGGGGCAUCUAUAGGGUCCCGUGCUCCAGGGUGUGCUGCUGGGACGGAGGGUGGCCCAGUGCCAUGAAGACCGUCUACUGCCUGAGGCUGCUGUUCCCUCUGCCCUCAAUGCUGUUCCCGCCAGUGGGACCACAUCGGUGCACCUCCACCCCAGCGGGGGUUCAAGCAAAGAAUCAUUUGAUAAGAGGAGGUGGGCCUCUAGGUCCUGCGAGGAAGUCACGCCCAGAAGCAGCCUUCCCUCCAGCUUCUGUCUGAUGGAACAUUUCUGGAAGUGACCGUGGAAAUGCUCUCUGUGCCUUGUGAUGGGGCGUCUGUGUGUGGCUGCUGAGCACUUGAAACCCAGCUGGUGUGCGGGGGACGCUGCACGUUUAUCCUUUGUGAUUAGUGUGGAUUUAAAUAGCCACAUUCUAUUCUAAGGGGGGCCAGAUUCUCUUCACUGAUUCCAUAUUGGGAAUUCACCUCCUUGCUGAAGUCCUUUGGUAUUUUUUUGUAAAAGUCCUUGUAAAAGUGUAACAUUUAUUAUAAACCAACACUCCUGAGACGUUUUUGUGGCCGGCUGUUCAUGGGCACAUUGAGCAGCAAGAGCUCUGAGUGAGGACGUGCCCAGGUGCCCAGCUGAGGUGGAACCGGCGAGGGCUGCCGUCUCUUCUCUUCUGAGACUGGGAACAAGGAUCCCUUUUUUAAGGCUUAGUUAGAGCAACGUGUUUCACUCUUUGGGGCUUUUUCUGAGUGAUUUUGCUGUUUAAACUGGCCCCCAACCAUUCCUAAGCACAAGAAGUGUGAUGUGAAAUUAGAGA